This 1493-nucleotide long non-coding RNA is filed under the name Sus scrofa (pig). RNAcentral's name for it is "lncRNA (ENSSSCG00045032679.1)". Lineage: Eukaryota; Metazoa; Chordata; Mammalia; Artiodactyla; Suidae. The record is from RNAcentral.
UCUGGCGGGGCUGUGGUGUAGGCCGGCAGCUGCAGCUCCGUUUGGACCCCUAGCCUGGGAACCUCCGUAUGCCUCGGGCAUGGCCCUAGAAAGAUGUAAAGGAAAAGAAAAUGAAGCUUGAGGGAGUGGUAAAGAUGGAGUUAGACCAGCUAGUAGGAAAUAGAGUGGAAAGGAAUAAUAGGGAUGGGCCAUGCCCUGGGGGAUAUUUACCAUUGGCAGGGAAACCAAAGAGAAGGAAGGGCCAGCCAGGUUCUAUAGCAGGGCCGAGUGUCCCCGGAGCUUACUGGGGGGCGGGGGUCGUUGCACAUUGAUCUUAAAGGAAGAUCUAAUAUAGCAGGGCCGAGUGUCCCCGGAGCUUACGGGGGGGGGGGGGGUCGCAUUGAUCUUAAAGGAAGAUCUAGUGGGAGAGAAGGGCACUUGUGUUGAUUGAACUCUUGUCUUGCAGACUUAAUUCUUAACCCGCCAGAAGUCUUCGAGGACCACCGUUAGGCCAUCUUAGGUCCAGUACAGGUGGGGGGCCACGGUCAGGAUUAAGUGUCCAGGGUUGCCUGGCCAGACACUGGAAGGUCAGGAUUGGAUGCCAGGCCUCUCCAACCCUACUGGCUCCACUCCUUUCCCGGAUGCCAGAUUGGAAGGGAGGGGUGGAAUCUAGAGGCAAUGGCUGGUUUGAGUCGGAGGGCAAUGCCAGGAUGGAGUAGGCAGCACAGCUCCUGAGCUCCUGGACGGUGGGGUCACACCACCACCCCUUCUCUCUUGAAGGUUAAGGCUUCUGGCAGAUUCGGGUCAGUCCCAAGUGCGACCGGUCUUCUGGGGCUGCCGUCCGCAGACCCUUCUCGCAUCCACGUACCUGGCGGCCUCCCUCAUCGCGUGCUGUUGGUAGGGGGGCGAGUCAGGCCCUGUACACGUCCUGACAGGCACCCGGCCCACCCCCAGCCAACUGUGCGCUGUGUUCCUGCCCCAGCACGAGACCUGUGGGGUGUCCGCGGCAGAAGAUGUCAGAGCUGGAAGAGACCUGAGAGGCGAUCCCUUGGUGGGUGAUGGGUUCUUCCGGGAAUCUGGUGGUUUGCGCGCCUUGUCGUCUGCUUCCAGAACAAGGAUCUUCGCUGUACGCCAAGACCCAGACCCCUCUGACAUCGGAAUGACAAGUGGGAUAUUUAAUAAAACAGUUUCAAAUUUGGAGUCAGUCCAGCCUCUGUUGUUUUCUCUUUUCUGUGUUAGCUGCAAAGGGGAAGAAGACCCCGCCCUUGAAGGAGUUUCAGCCAAGUGUGAGGCAUCCCUAGGGUGUCUCCCAUUUUGUUGCUUGUGUCUUUGUAAAGUGCCCAGUGGGUGAUAGAGCAUCAGGAUCUGUACCUUGGGAUCCCAGAGUGGGUUCCGGUGGUUUGACGGGGUCUCCGCCCCGUCCUCUUCAGUGUGGGUCACACUGGGUCACACACUAGAGUAUCCAGACCUCCGCCUGUGGGUUGAUGCCUUAAGAAUGCAUGACCCUCGUGGUC